RNAcentral lists this ribosomal RNA (702 nucleotides) under uncultured bacterium. RNAcentral describes it as "bacterial SSU rRNA". It matches the Rfam family "Bacterial small subunit ribosomal RNA", at positions 56 to 748 of the family's 1533-position model. The record is from RNAcentral.
UGCAGUCGAGCGGUAGCACAAGAGAGCUUGCUCUCUGGGUGACGAGCGGCGGACGGGUGAGUAAUGUCUGGGAAACUGCCUGAUGGAGGGGGAUAACUACUGGAAACGGUAGCUAAUACCGCAUAACGUCUUCGGACCAAAGUGGGGGACCUUCGGGCCUCACGCCAUCAGAUGUGCCCAGAUGGGAUUAGCUAGUAGGUGGGGUAAUGGCUCACCUAGGCGACGAUCCCUAGCUGGUCUGAGAGGAUGACCAGCCACACUGGAACUGAGACACGGUCCAGACUCCUACGGGAGGCAGCAGUGGGGAAUAUUGCACAAUGGGCGCAAGCCUGAUGCAGCCAUGCCGCGUGUGUGAAGAAGGCCUUCGGGUUGUAAAGCACUUUCAGCGAGGAGGAAGGGUGGUGUGUUAAUAGCACAUCACAUUGACGUUACUCGCAGAAGAAGCACCGGCUAACUCAGUGCCAGCAGCCGCGGUAAUACGGAGGGUGCAAGCGUUAAUCGGAAUUACUGGGCGUAAAGCGCACGCAGGCGGUUUGUUAAGUCAGAUGUGAAAUCCCCGCGCUUAACGUGGGAACUGCAUUUGAAACUGGCAAGCUAGAGUCUUGUAGAGGGGGGUAGAAUUCCAGGUGUAGCGGUGAAAUGCGUAGAGAUCUGGAGGAAUACCGGUGGCGAAGGCGGCCCCCUGGACAAAGACUGACGCUC